Molecule: ribosomal RNA, 353 nt
Filed under: uncultured bacterium
Lineage: Bacteria
Description: bacterial SSU rRNA
Rfam family: Bacterial small subunit ribosomal RNA
Source: RNAcentral
GACGAACGCUGGCGGCGUGCUUAACACAUGCAAGUCGAGCGAGAAAGCUCCUUCGGGAGUGAGUACAGCGGCGAACGGGUGAGUAACACGUGGGCGAACCUGCCCUAGGGACGCGGGACAACCCGAGGGAAACUCGGGGCUAAUACCGCAUGAUUCGUCGUGCCUCAAGGCGCGACGGGAAAUGGUAGCUUCGGCCUCCGCCCUGGGAUGGGCCCGCGCCGCAUUAGCUUGUUGGUGAGGAACGGCUCACCAAGGCAACGAUGCGUAGCUGGUCUGAGAGGACGAUCAGCCACACUGGGACUGAGACACGGCCCAGACUCCUACGGGAGGCAGCAGUGGGGAAUCUUGCGCAA